GGCUACUCCUGUUAUAUCUCUGGCAAGUCUAGAGGUAGUUUUUUUCCGCUGCUCUGUCCCAGAGUGUUACUGGGACAGAGCUCUUUCUGUACUGCUGCUCUUGUUAUCAUAGUGCUCAACUGUGAGGAAAGUCACCUGUGUAAGGCAAAUCCUAGGAAAAAAAAAAAAAAAAAAGCCAAGCAAAACAACCAGGCCUGCCUUUUGUAUGAGAAAUUGCAUUCCAGCCAAGAAAAUAUCAUAAAAAAAUAAAAGGUCCAGGGCGCAGGAGGAUUCCUUCUGAUUUGAUUGGAAGAGCAGAGAAACCAAGUUCCAAAUAAGCCUGGCUGGAGCCUGUUAGGAGUCAGCAUUAUCAGCAGGAAGUGUGGCCAGAGGGGCUCAGGCAGAACUCAGGGUGGCUCUGACCAGUACUGGCCACAUCUGCUCUGUCCUUGCUAAGGUGGGCAAAGGCAAAUCUGACAAGUGAGUCUGUGCUUGAGACUCUCACUCAGCCGUCUUAAAAUCUGCCUAUAAAAUGAAAGCAUGCUUGGGUUUAGUUGAUUUAUAGCACUUAAAAGUGGUCUUAAAGUAUUCUUCAAUAACUACAUCCGGAAUUAAGGCUCCAUGCCAGAGUUCUUUUAUACAAGCAUCAUUCUAAUAGACAGUGGUUGUUCAUCUGGACUAGUUUUAAUGUCUCUUCUUUUUUAAUAUCUUCUGUUUUGUUUUUUUUCUAAGUUCCCAUUCAUUUUUCUGUAUUGCUGUGAAUGUUCACCCUCAUACUCUGGACAGUGAUUUUGGGGUUUUUUUUCUUCAUUUCACAGCUAUGAUACUUUGCUUAGUAAAAUUCUCUGAAGCGCUUACCUGGCUGCAGCCUAUAGCACUUUCUUGGAGAGUAAUGCUGCUUCUCGCAGCCAGCGCUGCAGUGUUCUCGGUGUCUGUGCAAUUUUUCACUGUACCCUGUAACCUCAGAAUCCAUGGCUGUCUCUCAGGGUUCUGGAGGAGUGCUGUGUUUGGAUUUUUGUGGGAAGUGCAUGAUCUAAACUGUGGCAUCUCGGCUAUAUUCUAGGAAGCUCGGAGAAGCAAGCUGCUCCUCACGAGGAACCGCUUAUUCUUGAAAGUUGAGCUUCAAGGUGCUGCAAGAGGUAGAUAAGAUACUGAAUGCUCUGGAGACAAGACUGACCACGAUUGAGUCCCGUGGGGCUACUCUGCACAGGCAGGUCUGAGAGGAAAUACAUCUUGAAGUGCGGGAGAAAGGCAAAUGUGAAACUUGGCCCCGUUAUCCUCUGGGAUCUGUGGGAACAUUUCAAAGGCUGUGAGAGAGCUGAAAGCCGUGGGUGGCCUGUCCUGUGGGGGAGCAGUGCUGACUGAGGCUGUGUCCCAGCCAAGGAGAUCCUCUUCUGUCCCUGAAGAUGAUACACCAGGGGUUUUCUUCUUAAUAAAGUCUUCUGACCAGUCCUGUA
Cyanistes caeruleus (blue tit) is the source of this 1436-nucleotide non-coding RNA. Lineage: Eukaryota; Metazoa; Chordata; Aves; Passeriformes; Paridae. The record is from RefSeq and is a predicted model, not a curated record.